Molecule: ribosomal RNA, 888 nt
Filed under: Dacrymycetes sp.
Lineage: Eukaryota; Fungi; Basidiomycota; Dacrymycetes
Description: partial 28S ribosomal RNA
Rfam family: Eukaryotic large subunit ribosomal RNA
Source: RNAcentral
AAGCAUAUCAAUAAGCGGAGGAAAAGAAACUAACCAGGAUUCCCCUAGUAACUGCGAGUGAAGCGGGAAAAGCUCAAAUUUAAAAUCUGGCGGCUUUGCCGUCCGAGUUGUAGCCUAGAGAAGUGUUUUCCGCGCUGGACCGUGUACAAGUCCCUUGGAACAGGGCGUCAUAGAGGGUGAGAAUCCCGUCCUUGACACGGACUCCCAGGGCUUUGCGAUGCGCUCUCGAAGAGUCGAGUUGUUUGGGAAUGCAGCUCAAAACGGGUGGUAAAUUCCAUCUAAAGCUAAAUAUUGGCGAGAGACCGAUAGCGAACAAGUACCGUGAGGGAAAGAUGAAAAGCACUUUGGAAAGAGAGUUAAACAGUACGUGAAAUUGCUGAAAGGGAAGCGCUUGAAGUCAGUCGCGUCCGUCGGGAUUCAGCCUUGAACGGUGUACUUCCUGACGGACGGGCCAACAUCGAUUUUGGCCGGCGAAAAAGGGUUUGAGGAAUGUGGCAUCUUCGGAUGUGUUAUAGCCUCUUGCCGUACGCGCCGGUUGGGAUCGAGGACCGCAGCUUCGGCUUAGGAUGUUGGCGUAAUGGCUUUAAACGACCCGUCUUGAAACACGGACCAAGGAGUCUAACAUGUCUGCGAGUGUUUGGGUGUGAAACCCGAGCGCGGAAUGAAAGUGAACGUAGGUGGGAGGCGCAAGCCGCACCAUCGACCGAUCCGGAUCUUUAGUGAUGGAUUUGAGUAAGAGCAUAUAUGUUGGGACCCGAAAGAUGGUGAACUAUGCCUGAAUAGGGCGAAGCCAGAGGAAACUCUGGUGGAGGCUCGUAGCGAUUCUGACGUGCAAAUCGAUCGUCAAAUUUGGGUAUAGGGGCGAAAGACUAAUCGAACCAUCUAGUA